Long non-coding RNA from Carlito syrichta (Philippine tarsier), 797 nucleotides. RefSeq lists it as uncharacterized. NCBI's taxonomy places the organism in Eukaryota, Metazoa, Chordata, Mammalia, Primates, Tarsiidae. The record is from RefSeq and is a predicted model, not a curated record. The transcript has 5 exons.
GGAGGGACAAAGCAACUUGGCAUCUCGACCAACAGAGAAAGUCUCUUUCUCCUGAUUGUCAAGAUCAUUUCACCUGGUGGCGAUGAAGUCAUCAUAAUUUGAGUGGCAUAAAUGUCAUUCACUAUCUUGGUAUAAGCCUAGGAAGAAUGGGUCAGCCCAUCCCAUGAUACUGGGAGUUGAACCUCAUUUAUCACAAUCGCUUUCAGAGGAGGCCCACCUCUUUCAACUUCCUUUUCCAGCUGACACCAAACCUUUCUGAAGAGGUUUCUCUCUUCUAGAUUUGUGGAUGCUGUUCUCUUUACCUGCCUUACUGCUUAUGAAUUUCUAGUCACAACUUGACGUUUAGCCUGGGAAACAGAUUCAUGUGCCAUCAGUGCAAUCAAGAUAUGGAACUAUUUAAUCAUCACAAAGACCUCCUUCGUGCUACACCUAAUUUGUUCCAUCUUUAUUAUAUUGCCAUUUCAGCAAUGUCAUACAGAUAUGACAGUGAGUCUGGAAAACUGGCCUGAAUGAAAGGAGAAUGCAAGCCGUUGGAAUGAUCGAACACCUUGGGCUCAAAGGUGCCUCUCUUGCUCUGCCCAUGUCUGCUCCCCCCCAUCUCUGGAGGAUGCUGCAGUAUCAGGCUCAAGCACAGGAGAGAAGUUUAGUAUCCUCAGGGAACAAUACAAGCUGUGGACCUGUCACUUCUGUUUCUAGCUGCUUCUUCAAUAUGAGAUACAUGGAAAACAGAAGAACUAAACAUAGAUCUACCAUUCUAUCCAGCAAUCUACUGGGUAUCUACCCAAAGUAAAAGAAAU